Molecule: long non-coding RNA, 708 nt
Organism: Gastrolobium bilobum
Lineage: Eukaryota; Viridiplantae; Streptophyta; Magnoliopsida; Fabales; Fabaceae
Exons: 3
Source: RefSeq, a predicted model, not a curated record
GCAAAAUGAGAGAAAUUGAGGUUUUGAAUAAAAACCUUCCAAAAUUCGUAAAGAGAGCUAGAGACCUCCAAAUCACUCCGUUCCAAAGCCAAACUUGUGAGAAAUUUCGAGAGGAAUCCAUUGGUACCAGUAUUUCUGGGUGGGUUUCACUGUAGAGAGAGAUCUUCAUCAUCUAAGAUUUCGAAUUUCAUGGAUAAUGGUGAUUUUGAUGGAGCUUGAGGCCAUGGGAGCUUAGAUACUCAUCUCUCCUUUGUUUUAGAGUGCAUUGUGGUGUACCUACUGUGAACGUUUGGAUUCUCGUGGAGCAUGAUAAGUAGCUUGCUCUUCAAGUAAGCAAACUGUAAAGCUCCAAGAGGAAGUGAGCCCAAGGUAUGGAGGGUUUUCCAUAAACCUGGAGUUUACUAGAGAUUCGUCUCUAACCCCGUUUGGGGAUAUGAUUUCAGGAACACAGUGAAUUGAAGAGCCUCAUGGGACCAGGACACUAACUGUGGCUAGAGGUACUAGUAUGAGGAUGUGGAGUUUUGGGUGGUCGGAUGCUACUAUUUGUUUUAGACGUAUUUUUGGAAAAGAUGUAUUGUUGCAUAGUGUUCAUAUUCGAUACAUGUACAUUUAUGUAUUCAGGCAUGAAGAUAUGACUAUGUAGUAUUCAGUUAGGUUAUGUAUUGGAUUGCAUGCUAUUAGAUUUGUGGCACGGAGCCAAGUUCAGCA